GCCAUUUGGGAGUGAGCGCAUUGCAAUAGAGGCAAAAAUUUCGGCACAUAGAUGUAAAUACACGGCUGAUGAAACUCACAAAAUACUGGAAUAGACAGCACAAAAGCUUAUACCGAUUCCUGUAUAUAUUUGAGGCAAAUUUCAUGAUAAGUCGGGACUAAAAUGGAGGCUUGAUAAAGUUCACGAAGCGAUAUCAAUUUCGCUGUCCAUUUACUGUAGUUGAAAUAUCUUUGUGGUUGAAAAGAGGUAAAAUAAUUGAAUUCAUAACUAAGCUAAAUCAAUUUAGAAAUAUAUAGCGUAGGUGUAGCGAUUUCAGGCAUUUGUAGUAUUAACAACAUGAGCGAAAGACUUAGCUAGAGCGUCAGACAAAUCAUAUAGUCCGGGCGAAAUAACUUUGCUGCAAUCUGGCAGUGCUGAAGAUAACCGAGCGCAUCUAGCUAUGAAUAUAAACAACAAGGAAAAGCCCAAAAUGAUUAAUGUAGAACAAGUCAUUAAUAUUCUUCGAACUGACAUGAAGACUGACCAAAAAUAUAGUUUAGUAUUAGGAAAUGUUCAUACAUUGUAUAAAUUCUUACUCUGUAUAUUGGACAAUGCCACAUGUUGCAUGGCAUGCAUUUAUGUUAUAUGGCUUACUUUACCAAACGUUGGGAAUGAAAAGUCGAAUUGAUACCCUUUAUCUUUACUCACUUUAAACACUACCUGUACCUCUCUUUUCAAUUUUGUGGCUAUUUGGUUUGGUCUCAGUAGACCCGGCAUGAUUAAAAGUACUAACCAGAACACUAACAUUGAAAAGGGAGUAGUGGUGAUAUUACUAAUAUGUACAUAUGUGAUAAAAUACCCUGAAGAAUAUUGCCUACAAAUACCCACCAAUUCAUUAUUUUCCAUCCUUAACCUUCUGACUGUUAGGUAAAAGCAAGGUCAGAUGACAUGGAACAUAUAACCCAGGGAGACAAUUGUGCUCAGGUUCAAGCUCUACUGGAUUUACUCAACUAUUGCUCACUCACAACUAACAACUACAGAAGAAAUUGGGAAUUAUAGAAGAACAGUCUAACAGACAUUAUGUAUAAUGAUGUCACAAAAUGUCCGCAAGGAAUGCUGGUCUUAGUAGUCAUUGCCCAGGAAAAUGUCGAUAGUGGAUAAAUUGUUUAAUUUUUCUAGGCGAUGAGUACUAAGACCAGCAUUCCUCACAGGCAUCAAGCCUUGUGACAUCAUUAUGCAGAAGGUCUAUUGCAAAAGAAUAACUGGACGUCUUGCAGUACAAUGUCUCUGAUAGUAAUCACCACACAAUAAAUCAACCACUGAGAAACAUCAACUUUAUUUAGUCUAUAUUACAGUACAACCAAGUAAAAUAUUCCCAAACACUUUAUUUUAUCAAUAUUUAAAAAAUACAUGAUAAUUUAUUGUACAAACACAUGUUGAAUAUAAAAUUAAUUGUGUAUUAAUAGUUAUUGCAAUAAAUAAACCUUUAUGCACAUAUCAAUGUUAACC
Non-coding RNA from Paramuricea clavata, 1488 nucleotides. The record is from the annotation of a GenBank genome assembly. NCBI's taxonomy places the organism in Eukaryota, Metazoa, Cnidaria, Anthozoa, Malacalcyonacea, Plexauridae.